CCUACGGGAGGCAGCAGUGAGGAAUAUUGGUCAAUGGACGAGAGCCUGAACCAGCCAAGUAGCGUGAGGGAUGAAGGCCCUACGGGUCGUAAACCUCUUUUAUACGGGAAUAAAAUGCUCCACGUGUGGGGUUCUGCAUGUACCUUACGAAUAAGGACCGGCUAAUUCCGUGCCAGCAGCCGCGGUAAUACGGAGGAGCCGAGCGUUAUCCGGAUUUAUUGGGGUUAAAGGGGGCGUAGGCGGAUGGUUAAGUCAGGUGUGAAAGUUCGCGGCUCAACCAGACAAUUGCAGUUGAAACUGGAAGUCUUGAGUACAUAAGAGGUAGGCGGAAUUCGUGGUGUAGCGGUGAAAUGCAUAGAUAUCACGAGGAACUCCGAUUGCGAAGGCAGCUCGCCGGAGUGCGACUGACGCUGAGGCUCGAAAGUGUGGGUAUCAAACAGGAUUAGAUACCCCAGUAGUC
RNAcentral lists this ribosomal RNA (460 nucleotides) under uncultured bacterium. Its description in RNAcentral is "partial 16S ribosomal RNA". It matches the Rfam family "Bacterial small subunit ribosomal RNA", at positions 338 to 795 of the family's 1533-position model. The record is from RNAcentral.